GACUUUGAUGAGAUCCCACAGAGGGGUCAAGUUUAUGAUUAUGACUAUGUUCAGUGCAUGCACAGGUUGAGUUUGGUGUAUGAUAGAAUUUAUGAAAGAAAAGUUUUAAUUUUUAUGUAUGUUGUUGAUCAUGUAUGGGAUUAAACAGGUUUACAGGUUACAUGUUAGGCUUGCUACGGGUCCCGGCGGCCUUAAGCCGACCUGGAUCCUAGCGCCGGUAGCGGUCCGAUUUUCGGGUCGUUACAGAAU
RNAcentral lists this long non-coding RNA (249 nucleotides) under Manihot esculenta (cassava). Its description in RNAcentral is "long non-coding RNA (MESC_LNC012804)". The record is from RNAcentral. Lineage: Eukaryota; Viridiplantae; Streptophyta; Magnoliopsida; Malpighiales; Euphorbiaceae.